GAUUAUGGCUCAGGAUGAACGCUAGCGACAGGCUUAACACAUGCAAGUCGAGGGGCAACGCGAGUAGCAAUACUUGGCGGCGACCGGCGCAAGGGUGCGUAACGCGUGAGCAACAUGCCCGUAUCAGGGGGAUAAUCCAGGGAAACUUGGUCUAAUACCCCAUAGUAAUUUUGUAAGGCAUCUUAUAAGAUUUAAAGCUUUGGUGGAUACGGAUUGGCUCGCGUGACAUUAGCUGGAUGGUAAGGUAACGGCUUACCAUGGCUAUGAUGUCUAGGGGUUCUGAGAGGAAGGUCCCCCACACUGGAACUGAGACACGGUCCAGACUCCUACGGGAGGCAGCAGUGAGGAAUAUUGGACAAUGGAUGGAAAUCUGAUCCAGCCAUGCCGCGUGAAAAGGAAGAAGGUCCUAUGGAUCGUAAACUUCUUUUGUAUGGGAGCAAUAAGGCCUACGAGUAGGUUGAUGAGAGUACCAUACGAAUAAGCACCGGCUAACUCCGUGCCAGCCGCGGC
RNAcentral lists this ribosomal RNA (510 nucleotides) under uncultured bacterium. RNAcentral describes it as "bacterial SSU rRNA". It matches the Rfam family "Bacterial small subunit ribosomal RNA", at positions 15 to 518 of the family's 1533-position model. The record is from RNAcentral.